CGAUCAAUGAACGCAGAGCGCUGCUGCUUCGAAGAAGAGCAAGAACCAAGCCCCUUCAGCCGCCAGAGUGGUAGCGAGAACGGCAGUGGAGUGAAGGUGGAGUGGAGCUCGUUGCUCGCGGUGUUGUUUUUAGUUCGAUGACUCACACAUACACAAACAUAUGCACAGCAAGGCAAGAGUGGGAGGGAGAGCACUAGCACUUGAACUGCUGCUUAUCAGACUGAAAUGAGAGCACUUUUGCCUCUGCCUCUGCCUGCAUGUGGUGUCCAUGUGUGCAGUAUGUUUCUGGCGAGGCACCCUGUAACUACGUUUUGCUCCGCUUGCGGCCAGCAUUCUUGCACGUCGUCAAAUGGCAAAGACAGGCCAACGGCAACCACAAGAAAUGGAUAAAAGCCUCAGGAGUCGAAGCGUUAGAUACUCUUGCAGAUCGACAAUUUUCUGCUGGAGCUGCAUAUGCAGUGCACAUGUGUCCACAGCAAGACAAACCGCUGGUCAAAGUAAUAACUGCCUCUGCAAGAGUAUAAAAUCGUUUAAGAUCAAAAACAAAUGUUUGACCGUUUCUGAAAAGCCGCAGUCUGGAGAAGAGAGAUAAAGAGAGAUAGAACGUUCACCCACAACAGCAAAGAAUUGGAACCGUCAUGGAGUUGAAAGAUAAGAAUUUGUCAGAUUUUGCAGCUAUCCGAUACACAGAUGUCCGAUGUAGCCCGGGUUGCAGUAGGUAUCACAAUGAGCUGAACUACAACCUUCUUCACGCAGGAGAUUGAGGAAGGAUGGAGGGUCCUUCUAGGGCUACGAUCAGGAGUACAGCUC
Drosophila subobscura is the source of this 810-nucleotide long non-coding RNA. RefSeq lists it as uncharacterized. NCBI's taxonomy places the organism in Eukaryota, Metazoa, Arthropoda, Insecta, Diptera, Drosophilidae. The transcript has 3 exons. The record is from RefSeq and is a predicted model, not a curated record.